ACGCUAGCUACAGGCUUAACACAUGCAAGUCGAGGGGUAACGGCAUUAAGUGCUUGCACUUUUUGGACGUCGACCGGCGCACGGGUGAGUAACGCGUAUCCAACCUUCCCAUGACUAAGGGAUAACCUGCCGAAAGGCAGACUAAUACCUUAUGGUCUUCACUGACGGCAUCAGAUGUGAAGUAAAGAUUUAUCGGUUAUGGAUGGGGAUGCGUCUGAUUAGUUAGUUGGCGGGGUAACGGCCCACCAAGGCAACGAUCAGUAGGGGUUCUGAGAGGAAGGUCCCCCACAUUGGAACUGAGACACAGUCCAAACUCCUACGGGAGGCAGCAGUGAGGAAUAUUGGUCAAUGGGCGAGAGCCUGAACCAGCCAAGUAGCGUGCAGGAUGACGGCCCUAUGGGUUGUAAACUGCUUUUGUAUGGGGAUAAAGUCAAUCACGUGUGAUUGUUUGCAGGUACCAUACGAAUAAGGACCGGCUAAUUCCGUGCCAGCAGCCGCGGUAAUACGGAAGGUCCGGGCGUUAUCCGGAUUUAUUGGGUUUAAAGGGAGCGUAGGCUGGAGAUUAAGUGUGUUGUGAAAUGUAGACGCUCAACGUCUGACUUGCAGCGCAUACUGGUUUCCUUGAGUACGCACAACGUUGGCGGAAUUCGUCGUGUAGCGGUGAAAUGCUUAGAUAUGACGAAGAACUCCGAUCGCGAAGGCAGCUGACGGGAGCGCAACUGACGCUGAAGCUCGAAGGUGCGGGCAUCGAACAGGAUUAGAUACCCUGGUAGUCCGCACAGUAAACGAUGGAUGCCCGCUGUUGGUACGUGGUAUCAGCGGUUAAGCGAAAGCAUUAAGCAUCCCACCUGGGGAGUACGCCGGCAACGGUGAAACUCAAAGGAAUUGACGGGGGCCCGCACAAGCGGAGGAACAUGUGG
Molecule: ribosomal RNA, 920 nt
Filed under: uncultured bacterium
Lineage: Bacteria
Description: bacterial SSU rRNA
Rfam family: Bacterial small subunit ribosomal RNA
Source: RNAcentral